Salvelinus fontinalis (brook trout) is the source of this 6259-nucleotide long non-coding RNA. RefSeq lists it as uncharacterized. NCBI's taxonomy places the organism in Eukaryota, Metazoa, Chordata, Actinopteri, Salmoniformes, Salmonidae. The transcript is spliced from 4 exons. The record is from RefSeq and is a predicted model, not a curated record.
GUAUCCGUCUGUAUCCGCGGGAAGGCGUGUGACCCCUAGCUCCAUGGGUUCAGGCUCUGAUCCUGAACACUCGCCGAAGGAGGGAGAGAAGCAAUUGAGAUGCCGGGGCAUUGAGUUUUCAAUAUUGGUCAGGUAUAUCCGGAGAUGAUUAGCAAAUAAGUUCAGUUUAUAGUCAUGUUUACCAAUACUGAUGUCUGUUACAUUUGGGUCCUGUCUAUAUUUUCCUACAAGCGGUUCAAUUGCCAGUGGGUGGAAAGUUGAACGCUUCCAAAGUUUAGAAUAGAAAAGGAAAUUCAAGACGGUUGAAGGCCUUUUUAGCAUCAACAGCCAUUAUUGCUAAAUCUAAAUCUUGUUUUUUUUGCGUAUUGUAUUAACUCAAUCUUCCCCCCGUGUUUCAAUAAAUACCUUGGUUACCUCAUCCCAGUCUCCUCAUCUGAGUCUGCUCUUGGGUUCACCUGUUCCGCUCCGCGUAACACAUUCCAGGGUUUUUCUUUAUUUUUACUAUUUUCUACAACGUAGACAUCAAAACUAUGAAAUAACACACAUGGAAUCAUGUAGUAACCCACAAAGUGUUAAACAAAUCAAAAUAUAUUUUAUAUUUGAGUUUCUUCAAAGUAGCAACCCUUUGCCUUGACAGCUUUGCUGAGCAUGGAUCUAGGAAGCACUGAAUGGAGUGAUUUGUGUAAAUACACAGUAAAAUCACCAGUGUUAAAUUCACUGUUAAAAGCGGUCGACUCCCAUAGUUAUUUUAGCAACUGGCAGUGCCAAAUGAACCCUAGCGUCAGUGCCGAUAACUGGUGCUAAUUGCUAAGGUAUACAAUUGUACUCUAUUAGUGUAGAUCUUUACGCAGUAAAUGUAAACCUCAUCACAACGCCGCCCAUAAAUUCAGUUUCUGCGUUCAAAUUUCCUCUUUUCUCGACGCCAUUGUUGAAUAAACAAAAUCCACAUUUUUGAGUGAGUUUUUAAACAAUUAUUUCGCUGAUAAUUAGUUAAGCUAUUUGAAUUGAAAUACUUGAUACUUUGUCAGAUUUCAGUGUAACAUAAAAAGUUACAGUUUUGAUUGUGUGCAGCUAGUGUUAGAGUUACUUGCGUUUCACUUUUUGCACGUCUUUGCUAGAUGUCCUGUGCAGUUAGUCUGCUCCACAUGGUGGUUCCAUGGGCGCACGUGUCAUUUCAGCACCAAGCUUUUUUAGCCUCAUGCUAGUUUGUUCUCUUUAUUUCAGCUGCUUACUAUAUAUUGAGGACUAAUCUGAUUUAAGGUGAGUUGUUUAUUUAGCCAAAUUAUAACUGCAUUUUUGACUUUAGGGUGAUGCUUAUAGAUACAUAUUGUGACCAUUGCAUCGGCAGCUAGCUAGUCUAGCUAACUUCGUUUCCCAGUCGCUUUAUCACCAGUUGAUUUUGGCGGGCUUGUAAGACUGCUCCUAGAACAUGACAAUAUAAUAUGGUGACUAGCUGGAAUUACGAGUGUAUUUUACUGGCCUAAUUAGGCUGCACAUAUUUCGGGAUAGUGAAUAUGAAUUUAAUAGUCUGUUUGCUGUAGUUUGGGACCUGCUUCAAGUAAUAUCAGACAAGUUGUGGCCAUGAUCCAAUAUUUUCAGAAUAUACUUUGAAAUUAGCAUUGCUAAGUAAAGGGGUAUUGGUGAAAACGUUUGUAGCCGUCCUGAUAUAAUGUCAUGAUUUGAAAUACAAAUGUAAUGCCUUUUCAUCAAUUUUGGCCUUAUCUCAUACCAUUAACUGCUUUCAGACCGAGUCAUGCUGAUCAGGGUGAAAUUCAAUGGUGAACAAAAAUAUGUCAAGAUCAUUGACCUGACACUUGAAAACCUUUUUGAUUAGAGGUAAACUUUUAAUUUGUGAUUGGAAAUAAAAGUAUUGUGGUCAUACAUUUACAAGUCAGUCUGAUUACUCUUACCAUUACGAUUGUAAUUGUAGGUUGUUUUAAUGUUUAUCGCAGCUUUCCUGAAAUUUGAGAUCCCACUUACUCGUUUAUCAGAGGCAAAGCCGUAUGAUGGGUCUGGAACUGAAGUUGAUGGGGAUGUGUUAGAGGAGGUGGUGAAACGGACAGAUCUUGGUGUUCUCAAGCUCACACUGAACAAUGAUGCUAAAAGUAUGUGCUGGUUUUCAAGUCUUGGUUACUUGUGGCAUCACUUUCAAUAUAACCAUACACGUGACAUGCCUGUAUUAUCAUCUUUGUGUAUUUCAGAAUCUUCCUGGAUGAGUCCUGUCUCUGCCAGUUCUGUGAUGGGUGGUUCAGACCAUUGCAUCAGAAUCCUACCGCAAGCUCUGAACCUUUACACCAGAUCAUUGCAGCUAGCUAGCUGUAAUCCGAGUGGCUGCUCCCAGCUAACGUCUCUGUCCCGAAGCAAGCACCAGUUAGCCUGGAGCUAGACCCAUCUCCCGAAUAGCCAAAGAGGUACACCAGCUCUUUUGCCAAUUGGCCUGGACCCUUUACUGCCGACCCGGAGCCCCUCCGAUCCAUCACGACUCGUCUGCUGACGUAACCGUCCGAAAUGGUUUCCACAGGCUCUUCCGUUGCAAUGUCGCUGGAGGCCCAUCUGCUUGCCCCGGCCCGUUAGCUGUCUGAAUCGCCUUGUCUCCAGCUCGCAUAGCGUAUUAGCGACUACUGAAUAAGGUCUAUUGCUACUCAUUUGACCCUAUGAUCACUCGGCUACACAUGCCGCUCCCCAAUGUCAAUAUGCCUUGUCUAUUGCUUUACUGGUUAGUGAUUUUUGUCUUAUUUCACUGUAGAGCCCCCAGCCCUGCCCAAUAUACCUUAGAUAGGCCUUUUGUUCCACCCUCCACACAUGCGGUGACCUCACCUGGCUUAACUGGUGCCUCUAAAGACAUAACCUCUCUCAUCGUCAAUCAAUGCCUAGGUUUACCUCCACUUUACUCACAUCCUACCAUACCCUUGUCUGUACAUUAUGCCUUGAAUCUAUUCUUCCACGCCCAGAAAUCUGAUUAUUUUACUCUCUGUUCCGAACGCACUAGACGACCAGUUCUUAUAGCCUUUAGCCGUACCCUUAUCCUACUCCUCCUCUGUUCCACUGGUGAUGUUGCGGUAAACCCAGGCCCUGCAGUCCCCAGCACCACUCCCAUUCCCCAGACUCUCUCAUUUUUUGACUUCUGUAACUGUAAAAACCUUUGUUUCAUGCAUGUUAACAUUAGAAGCCUCCUCCCUAAGUUUGUUUUAUUCACUGCUUCAGCACACUCCGACAGCCCUGAUGUUUUAGCCAUGAAUUCUGGCUUAGGAAGGCCACCAAAAAUCCUGACAUUUCCAUCCCCAACUACAACAUUUUCUGACAAGAUAGAACUGACAAAGGGGGCAGAGUUAGCCUGCAGAGUUCUGUCAUACUGUCCAGGUCUGUACCCAAACAGUUCGAGCUUCUACUUUUAAAAUUCCACCUUUCCAGAAACAAGUCUCUCACCGUUGCCGCUUGUUAUAGACCCCCCUCAGCCCCCAGCUGUGCCCUGGACACCAUAUGUGAAUUGAUUGCCCCCCAUAUAUCUUCAGAGUUCGUACUGUUAGGUGACCUAAACUGGGAUAUGCUUAAACCUAAACUCCGGACAUCCUACAAUCUAAGCUAGAUGCCCUCAAUCUCACAAAUUAUCAAGGAACCUACAAGGUACAACCCCAAAUCCGUAACAAUGGGAACCCUCUUAGAUAUCAUCCUGACCAUCUUCCCCUCUAAAUAAACCUCUGCUGUCUUCAACUAGGAUCUCAGCGAUCACUGCCUCAUUGCCUGCGUCCGUAAUGAGUCCGCGGUCAAACGACCACCCCUCAAUACUGUCAAAUGCUCCCUCCACUUCAGCGAGCAGGCCUGUCUAUUCGACCUGGCCCAGGUUUCCUGGAAGGAUAUUGACCUCAUCCCGUCAUUAGAGGAUGCCUGGUUGCUUUUUUAACACGCUUUCCUCACCAUCUUAAAUAAGCAUGCCCCAUUCAAAAAACGUAGAACUAAGAACAGAUACAGCCCUUGGUUCACCCCAGACUUGACUGCCCUUGACCAGCACAAAAACAUCCUGUGGCGUACUGUAUUAGCAUUGAAUAGCCCCGCGAUAUGCAACUUUCAGUGAAGUCAGAAACCAAUAUACACAGGCAGUUAGGAAAGCUAAGGCUAGCUUUUUCAAACAGAAAUUUGCAUCCUGUAGCACUAAUUCCAAAAAGUUUUGGGACACUAAACAGUCCAUGGAGAAUAAGAACACCUCCUCCCAGCUGCCCACUGCACUGUUGGAUAGGAAACACUGUCACCACCAAUAAAUCUACCAUAAUCGAGAUUUUCAAGAAGCAUUUUUUUACAGCUGGCCAUGCUUUCCACUUGGCUACCCCUACCCCGGCCAACAGCUCUGCACCCCCAGCAGAAACUUGCCCAAGUCCCCCUCCCCCAACUUCUCCUUCACCCUGGCCCUCGCUACAUAUUCGUCGCCAACCCACUGGCUCCAGGUCAUCUAUAAAUCUUUGCUAGGUAAAGCCCUGCCUUAUCUCAGCUCACUGGUCACCAUAGCAACACCCACCCGUAGCAUGUGCUCCAGCAGGUAUAUUUCACUGGUCCUCCCUAAAGCCAACACUUUGGGGAUGACUUUCCUUCCAGUUCUCUGCUGCCAAUGACUGGAAUGAAUUGCAAAAAUCACUGAAGCUGGAGUCUUAUAUCAACCUCUAACCUUAAGCAUCAGCUGUCAGAGCAGCUAACCGAUCACUGUACCUGUCACUGUACCUGUACACAGCCAAUCUGUAAAUAGCAAACUCAACUACCAUAUUGUUAAUUAUCUUCUUGCUCUUUUUUUACCCCAUUAUCUCUACUUGCACAUCAUCAUCUGCACAUCUAUCACUCCAGUGUUAAUGCUAAAUUGUAAUUGUUUUGGCCUAUUUAUUGCCUUACCUACCUACUCUUCUACAUUUACACACACUGUACAUAGAUUUUUCUAUUGUGUUAUUGACUGUACGUUUGUUUGUAACUGUUGUUUUUGUCGCACUGCUUUGCUUUAUCUUGGCAAGGUCGCAGUUGUAAAUGAGAACUUGUUCUCAACUGGCCUACCUGGUUAAAUAAAGGUGAAAUACGAAAAUGAAGACCAUGAGUCGGUUGAUGCAAUCAUUUUGAGCGAAGAUGGAAGCCCCUCACGAAAGCAUCAAAGAUCUGAUGACGAAGCAAACAAUCUAAUAGAGAGCAUACUGAAGAAAAAGCCUGGUGGAGAGGUUGCCAUCAAGGAAUACUCCAAAACUAAAAGCCUGAUUGACAGCACCAGACGAAAGAUGAUCAACAUUCUUGUUUCGGCGAUGACAGACUCUCACGGGAACAAUAUUUCGACCCUAAUAUUAAAGGGUACCUCUAGUAUAGAAUCAAAACCGUUCGGAGGAAUUUGGCUUCAUCUGAGAGACGGCCCACUCAACUAUACUAUGGAGGGCCAGCUGCUGAGAGGGAGUCCAGUCCAUUCACUUUGGCUACCCUGAGUGAAGACCGGUGCAGAGAGGCCAUUUCUCUUAUGAAGCAUUCUUCUGAUGAAGAAACAGACAAACAGAAGAUGAGAUUGACCUUUGAGUACAGGAAGAAGAUGACCCACGACCCGAGUAAAUGCUCCACCAUCCUAACUGAAUUUCCACGCUUUCUGGAUGUGAAGGGCUUGAUUGAAUAGGAUUUUGUGCUGCUGUUUUUGGAGAGGUGACCAACUAUAUUCAAGCAAAAGAUCAUCAUGCUAAACAAGGCCACUCAGGGAACUGAACUUCAGGAGCUGAUCCAAAUGGCAGAUUCUGCAGUUGAUGAGGGAGCUGACACGAAUGCUGAUGGGUUAGAUUAUCAUCAUUUAUCAUUUAUAUUUCAAAUAACUCUGAAAUGUUAAUGCCACUGAUGGAAUUGACCAUUUUAAAUCAGGAUCUUUUCUUUGUUGAGGAUGAGACGAUGAUAACCUUUCCUUCAUCCUUCUCCUGCUCCUUUUGAUUCCUCCUUCAUCACAAGGCCGCAAAAGACCAGGCAAGGUAUUUCAUGUAAUUGACAUCAUGUACCACAAACCUUUUGAUUUGCUCAUGUCAUAUGGAGCAAGGGAUUUUUUGGACUACAUUGUCCCCUACUGUCACUUGAUAACAGUGUAAGCCAGGGCUGAUACUUAUGAUUAGGUUGUGAGAAACAUAUUUGUUUUUCAUGUAAAUGUCAGCAUUUUCCAACCAACCUCUUAAUUUGCUCAUGUCAUAUGGAGCAAGGGAUUAUUUUGACAUUCUACUGUCACUUGAUAACAGUUGAAGCCAGGGCUGAGACUUAUGGUUUGGUCAUA